Molecule: transfer-messenger RNA, 381 nt
Filed under: Fastidiosipila sp.
Lineage: Bacteria; Bacillati; Bacillota; Clostridia; Eubacteriales; Oscillospiraceae
Also listed under: 1 other name
Rfam family: transfer-messenger RNA
About the family: Bacterial tmRNA, also known as 10Sa RNA or SsrA, is named for its dual tRNA and mRNA-like properties. Its role is to liberate the mRNA from a stalled ribosome.
Source: RNAcentral
GGGGGCGCACUGGUUUCGACGGGGUCAUGGAUCCCGGUGAAGCGGGUAGAGGAUUCUCGUUGGCCUCUUUAAAAAACGAGAAAAACUUAUAGUUGCCAAACAACCGCAACUCGCAGCAGCUUAAGUAAGCUAUUGCCGCCGGUCCGCUCGAUCUGUGGGGCGGGGAGCCGGCGCCGUAACACAGACCUUACCUGUCGGAGGUUAAACAGGUAAACAGACAGGCUCAAGCUUUGUGGUCUGCUCUGAACUGAUGAAGCUACCUCGUUUCCGAGCCUGCCGACUGGGCGCUUAAACGGGGGAAUCUAAAAGCAGCGGCUGCACCCGGAGAAACACCGGAGGAUGUGGUUUCGGACAGGAGUUCGACUCUCCUCGCCUCCACCA